Molecule: non-coding RNA, 891 nt
Filed under: Pan troglodytes (chimpanzee)
Lineage: Eukaryota; Metazoa; Chordata; Mammalia; Primates; Hominidae
Source: RNAcentral
CUUGGACAGAAGACGCUGAGCAUUUUUUCAGGAAGUGGUCACCCCAGUGGUCCCCGGCUUUCUCAGACUUCCUGCAGCUCUCUACACAGUGAAUCACAGUGAGACACUGGCAGCAGGCACCACGGAAGGGACCCUCAAAUCUGAAGGCUCAAGGUCCUGGGAAAAGAUGAAGUGGAGCAUGCCUCUUGUUUCCUCCUAUUAGAUGCUGAGUGUUGGAAGUUCUUCCUAGGAUUCACAAAGAAACUCCUGCUCUUCUUCCACAUACUUUUUCCUGGGAAAGAAAACUUGUUUCACUGGCAGAAAAGAUCCCCACUGUUAAAGUGAGGUAAAGAAGAUUCUUGCUUCCUCUUUACGCAUCUGCCAUGAUUGUAAGUUUCCUGAGGCUUCCCCAGCCAUGCUGAACUGGUCUUAGAUACAUGACGGCACUGUUGUCUUCCUGAAAACCUCUUCAUCCUGCAGAAGGUGCAACUCCACAGCAUCCUGAGAGGUUGGACAUAAGCUGCUGGGAGCACAAAGGAACCCUGCCUGCCAGGCUUGAGUGUCAGAAUCUGGGCUUUCACCUGCAGGGACCUCAGGCCUCCAUCAGCCAGGCUUGGAAAGAAUGAAUGGUGCCUCUCGGUGAAUUCCUACAACCUGAAUCCUGUGACCCCACCUGUGAUGGCCCAAUGUUAUUGAAAUUACUGACUCCAUCCACUUAGCAAGUGGUAAAUACUCUGCAGGCAUAGAUUUGACUAAUGUGUUCUGUUCAGCGCCUGUUUCAACAGAUCUCAGCUGCAGGUUGCUUUCACCCCUGAAGGGACACAAUAGACCGUUAUCUGGUUACCACGGGGUACCUCGACAGUUCUGCCACCAUAGACAAUCUUUGGAGGCAGGAUUUGAACUGCAUCUGAC